GUCAGUAAGGGUAGGGGGUGUAGCACCGGCCUUCUAAGCCGACGGUCGCAGGUUCGAAUCCUGCAGGGGUCGCCA
This 75-nucleotide transfer RNA is filed under the name Hoeflea sp. IMCC20628. RNAcentral's name for it is "tRNA-OTHER". Lineage: Bacteria; Pseudomonadati; Pseudomonadota; Alphaproteobacteria; Hyphomicrobiales; Rhizobiaceae. The record is from RNAcentral.